This is a long non-coding RNA of Dendrobium catenatum, 836 nucleotides long. RefSeq lists it as uncharacterized. Lineage: Eukaryota; Viridiplantae; Streptophyta; Magnoliopsida; Asparagales; Orchidaceae. The transcript is spliced from 2 exons. The record is from RefSeq and is a predicted model, not a curated record.
UCCUUUCACGUAUGAAGGAAUCAAAGUAGAAGGCCCAGGCGGCCAGGAGCUCUGCCCUCCAUCCCGCUCUCAUCCCUCUCUCUCGGGCGUGAGCUUAGGCGGACCAAAAAACUCCCUCCCCCUCUCGGUGCCGUUCGCGAAGCCUAGGAGAAGAGCUGGACUCCCUCCCUUCCUCUCUCGUGAUCUCUCCCAUUUGACCCCAAACCGAAACUGGACUCUCUGGUUUGCAAAGCCCGGGAGCAAGUUGAAGCCGCAUCCUGCCUCAUUCUCUAGUCCGAGCAGCCCUACAGCCCAACCUUUCUCUCUUCUUCAGCUCGAAGAGUCCAUGGAAGAUUCAAAACCUGACUCCUGUCCUACUACAAUCGUCCGUCCCUAGCAGCUGAACUUGACCUGGAGUCCCGAACCCAUUCUCGAUAUAGUUCCUCUCACGAGCAGCUUUUAAUCUCCUUCUAAACCUACAUCUCCAUCUUCUUUGCAUUCUCUGCUUGGUAAGAAAUGUGAGCAGGAUUAUUUCUAUUGCUGAGAUGGAAUAGCAUUAGUUUGCUCUUGCUGCAUUGUUGAAAUCAGGAAACCAUGGUUUGAAGCUUUCGUUCCAUCAAGAUAGAACCUAUGUAGGAAGAAAAUGCUGAGAUUAUCUUUCCUUCUUUCAGUUAUGAAUAACAAUGGAUUGUUCCUGUUCAAACUUUUUUUUUUUACUUCAAAGGUUUUGGGAGGUUUGAAAUGCGUGUAAUCUUUAAGGAGGUAUAAUCAUUCUUAGUCUUUGGAGCUAUCUUUUGUUACAAUAAGGGAUAUGAUCAUGAAACAUUUUCUCAAGUCUUUAAGCUAUUGAGUUCUGA